GUCAGUCGAUCGUUUCGCCGAUACGUCGCGUGUCGGUUCGUUCGCGCUUCCUUCCUGCGUGUUAUUUAUUCGUUUACCGUCGAUUUUUCUACGCGUCUUUUUCUCGCGUAUAGUAACGACUAACUAUAAUUUAUUUCUGACUGUUCGAUAGUAUUUUCGGUUUUUUUUUUUCAAUCGAUUAGAUUUAUUAUUAUUUUUUAAUUUGUCCGUUUAGAUCGUCAAAUAAAUUGUCACAGAAAUUAAUACUAAUUAAUAUACGUCGUUCGGAUCGCGCGAUCUUACCGAACAAUUACAACGAGUGUUUUUUUUUUCGAUCACCCAUACGGAGUAUAAUACACUUACGCUGCGUAUGCGAUUCGUUUAGAAAACAGCGAUAGUAGAUAUUAAUAUUAAUAUUAUAUUUAAAUAACAAUGAGGACUCGUAUCAUGUUCGCGAUAUUGUUGCUGUGUUUUGGUAGCGCAUUAUCCCAGUCCACAGUUUCUUCAGAUAAGCCGGUUUCGACCACGACCAGACGGCCAAUACCUCAUGUCGAAUGUACACUACGACAGCAUACUUGCGGCAAUGGUAAAUGCGUGCCACUAGCGUGGAUGUGCGACGGCGAUGACGAUUGUGGCGAUAACACUGACGAGCUACCCGAUUUGUGUAAAACAGGAAUGGCAAAUGUCACGUGUUCAGAAAAUGAAUUUCAAUGUAGAAACGGACACUGUAUAGCGCUCCACUGGCAAUGUGAUAACGAAGCAGAUUGCAAAGACGGCAGCGACGAAGACCCAAAAAUAUGCCAAAAACGAGUAUGCAACACGGAUGAAUUCACUUGCCGUAAGGCCAAAGGCGAGUGCAUUCCGCUGACAUGGAUGUGUGACGGCAAUCCCGACUGUUCGGAUGGCUCAGACGAGAAGGAGUGCAACGAAACAUGUAGAGACGACGAGUUUACGUGUGGCAACGGAAAGUGUAUUCAAAAGAUUUGGGUGUGCGACAGAGACGACGAUUGUCAAGACGGCACAGAUGAGCUCAACUGUCCCAACAUCACCUGUUCCGAGUCCGAAUUCGCGUGCGUCAAAGACAACACUUGCAUCACGUUGAACUGGCGUUGCGAUGGCGACUUCGAUUGUACCGACCAAACUGACGAAAUCGGUUGUGCGGAAACUACCAGAGUGUCGCAGUGCCGUUCUUCCGAGUUCGAGUGCGACGACCACAGCCACUGCGUCAUACAGUCGUGGGUGUGCGACGGCAGCGUGGACUGCGCCGACGGAUCGGACGAAGCGCCGCACCGAUGCCACAACACCACUUGUCGGUCCGACCAGUUCCGUUGCCGGGACAACACGUGCAUUCCCGGAUUCCUCCACUGUUCCGGUACGCCCGACUGCGCCGACGGUAGCGACGAAGAAAAUUGCAAAGAACCAGUGCACAAAUGCGACCCGUUCACGGAGUUCGAUUGCGGCAACGACGAGACGGGCGGCAUAUGCAUACCCUUGGAGAAAGUGUGCGAUAAGAACAUGGACUGUCCCGGGUUCGAGGACGAGGAACAGGAAGCGUGCAACGUGAACGAAUGUUUGAUCAACAACGGAGGCUGUUCGCAGCUCUGUAUCGAUUUACCACACACGUUCCGCUGCGCCUGCAAGCCCGGCUACAAGCUCAUCAACAACAACACAUGUGACGACGUGAACGAAUGCGAGAUCGAAGGCAGUUGUUCACAAAUAUGCAUCAACGAAAAGGGUACGUACAAAUGCGAAUGCGAGCCGGGAUACCUGCGGGACCCCCAAGAUCACACUAGAUGCAAGGCGAUGGAAGGACACGCGUCCCUCUUAUUCUCCAUGCAACACAAUAUACGGAAAAUAUCGUUAGAUCAUCACGAGAUGUCCGCCAUAAUCAACAGCACGAAAUCUGCCACCGCCAUCGAUUUUGUAUUCCGCACCGGGAUGAUAUUCUGGGGAGACGUAUCCGAAAAGAAAAUUUACAAAGCGCCGAUCGACGAAGGUCGAGAACGAUCGAUCGUUGUGGAAAGCGGCUUGUCAUCAGCCGACGGUUUAGCCGUGGACUGGAUUUACGGGCACAUCUACUGGACGAACGCGGACAGGGAUUCGAUCGAAUUGGCCAACUUCGAGGGCAACAUGCAAAAGACGCUUUUCAGGUCGGAACUGAAGGAGCCCAGGUCUAUAGCCGUAGAUCCACUCAACGGGUGGCUGUACUGGAGCGAUUGGGGCAGCAACGCAAAAAUUGAACGGGCCGGAAUGGACGGCACGCACCGCGAGGUGAUCGCCUCGUUUGACGUGAAAUGGCCAAACGGCAUUACCCUGGACCUGGUGUCCGGCCGGCUGUACUGGGUGGACGCCAAGCUGCACACCAUAUCGUCGUGCAACUUUGACGGCAGCCAAAGGCGUUUGGUCUUGUUCAGCACCACUUGGCUACCGCACCCGUUCAGCAUAUCCACGUUCGAGGACUCGCUGUAUUGGUCCGACUGGAACCAAAAGGCGAUAAUCAAGGCUAACAAGUUUAACGGUUCCAACAUCACCACGGUCACCGCCCUGCACAUGACUCAGAACCCAAUGGUGGUGCACGUCUAUCACCCGUACAGGCAACCGGACGGCGUUAACCACUGCGCCGCCGUCAACGGCCACUGUUCUCAUCUGUGCCUGCCGGCACCGCAAAUCAACAGCAAGUCGCCGAAAAUCUCGUGCUCUUGUCCCAACGGUCUGAUGCUGAUGUCCGACGGUCUGAUGUGCGCCGAAGAAGUUAAGAACAAAACGGUUUUAUCCAAACACACGAAACACAGACAUUAUAAAAAAGUCAAUAUUACGCUGUUAAAUACGAACAGAACGAUGACGGAAGUAAACGUCAACGACCACCCCGAACCAGAGGACAGCGGACUCAUAGCCGCCAUAAUAAUAUUCUCCGGCUCGCUAUUGAUCACUCUCGCAGCCCUGGGCGCUUUCCUGUUGUACCGGCACUACUUGCAUCGCAACGUGACCAGCAUGAACUUCGACAACCCGAUCUACAGGAAAACAACCGAAGACCAGUUCACGCUGGAGAAGAGUCAGUAUCAACCGGCGAGGGUAUACCCCACAUCUGUCGGCGAGGAGGUAAACUUCAACGUUAUCAUUUAAAGACCCUGAAACACCCUCUCCCCACUCAUCACCAUGGCCCAUCCGCCCCUCCCCCCGACAACCACAAGUACCCAUAUUUAUAUGCAUAUUAUCGUCGAUGCAACACCGUUAAGCUAUAUUCGAUCUUUUCUGCUCUUAAUUUUUUUGCAUUUUUACACGCUGCGUGUUAGUUCUUUAACGACAACUCGGCCGAAGAGCCGUUGACUCGUCCUGGCACGAACGAGUACGUCUAAAGUAUAGACCGUUUUAGUUUCUCUGCACACAACACUAGUCAAUG
Molecule: unclassified non-coding RNA, 3379 nt
Filed under: Rhopalosiphum maidis (corn leaf aphid)
Lineage: Eukaryota; Metazoa; Arthropoda; Insecta; Hemiptera; Aphididae
Description: low-density lipoprotein receptor-like, transcript variant X2
Source: RNAcentral